Molecule: non-coding RNA, 31 nt
Filed under: Mus musculus (house mouse)
Lineage: Eukaryota; Metazoa; Chordata; Mammalia; Rodentia; Muridae
Source: RNAcentral
UCUACAAAUUAAACAGAAUGCCUUACUAAUA